Molecule: transfer RNA, 71 nt
Filed under: Chelonia mydas (Green sea turtle)
Lineage: Eukaryota; Metazoa; Chordata; Testudines; Cheloniidae
Rfam family: tRNA
About the family: Transfer RNA (tRNA) molecules are approximately 80 nucleotides in length. Their secondary structure includes four short double-helical elements and three loops (D, anti-codon, and T loops).
Source: Rfam by way of RNAcentral
GGCAGUGUGGUCUAGUGGUUAGACCCCUGGAUUGGCACUCAGGAGGUCUGGGUUCUGGUCCCAGCCUGCCA